Molecule: long non-coding RNA, 1536 nt
Organism: Eriocheir sinensis (Chinese mitten crab)
Lineage: Eukaryota; Metazoa; Arthropoda; Malacostraca; Decapoda; Varunidae
Exons: 3
Source: RefSeq, a predicted model, not a curated record
AAACAAAGGUGAGUCAGGGGGAGGAGCAGGGCGUGGGGGUGGUGGUAGUGCUUUAGUGGGGCAGUCCUCGGGGGCCAGCCACAGCAGCAGCCACAACCACGUCCGUGUGACUGAAAUGGGUGAGCCAGACUUUGUGGCUCCUCAUGGUAACAAAAGAUUAACACCAACACAGCAGCCCAGUAAUGAAACUAAUGAUGAUGACAAAACUACACUUGUAAGACCAAACAGUAAAUGGAAGAAGAGAACUUUCUCCUUUCUUAAUUGAGGGAACAAUGAGGAAAUCGUCUGGCCACACAGCUGAGGUCAAAACUAGUGUUGGGAAAAGUAAGGAGUUUUUAAGGCAAGGGGAUUGUUAGGGAGGAAAAUUGGGUGAAAUAUGAAAGAACUUGGGUGAGGUCAAAACUAGUGUUGGGAAAAGUAAGGAGUUUUUAAGGCAAGGGGAUUGUUAGGGAGGAAAAUUGGGUGAAAUAUGAAAGAACUUGGGUGAGGUCAAAACUAGUGUUGGGAAAAGUAAGGAGUUUUUAAGGCAAGGGGAUUGUUAGGGAGGAAAAUUGGGUGAAAUAUGAAAGAACUUGGGUGAGGUCAAAACUAGUGUUGGGAAAAGUAGGGAGUUUUUAAGGCAAGGGGAUGUUAGGGAGGAAAAUUGGGUGAAAUAUGAAAGAACUUGGGUGAGGUCAAAACUAGUGUUGGGAAAAGUAAGGAGUUUUUAAGGCAAGGGGAUUGUUAGGGAGGAAAAUUGGGUGAAAUAUGAAAGAACUUGGGUGAGGUCAAAACUAGUGUUGGGAAAAGUAAGGAGUUUUUAAGGCAAGGGGAUUGUUAGGGAGGAAAAUUGGGUGAAAUAUGAAAGAACUUGGGUGAGGUCAAAACUAGUGUUGGGAAAAGUAAGGAGUUUUUAAGGCAAGGGGAUUGUUAGGGAGGAAAAUAGGGUGAAAUAUGAAAGAACUUGGCUGAGGUCAAAACUAGUGUUGGGAAAAGUAAGGAGUUUUUAAGGCAAGGGGAUUGUUAGGGAGGAAAAUUGGGUGAAAUAUGAAAGAACUUGGGUGAGGUCAAAACUAGUGUUGAGUGAGAGGAAUGCAUUUAAGGGAUACACUAUAUAAACUGUCUGAUGCUGUAACCCUAGUAAAUAUAAAUGCUUAGAGAAUGAAGAUACUGAUGAGAAUAUUAUGCCAUGAAAGUGGAAUAAAAUGGAUAGGCUAUAUAUGAAAUUAAUUAUGUAGUAUGGUAUGGAUAACUCAAAUUCACAACCAUUCUCUCUCUCUCUCUCUCUCUCUCUCUCUCUCUCUCUCUCUAAAAGGGGUAAUCAUGGUAGCAGUAAGCUAGUCAUCAUCAAGUUAAGUGUUAAACCACAUCACGUCUGUACUGUUCUUUUCUGAGAGGCGAGACCGUCAGAAUUUAACAUGCAAUAGCCUAAUUUCCUCUCAUUUACAGUUUUAAUAUGGUGGGUUACUAAGCGGAUAAUAUACCACUGAGAGAGAGAGAGAGAGAGAGAGAGAGAGAGAGAGAGAGAGAGAGAGAGAGAGAGAGAACAAUGAUAUA